CGACUUAUAUUCUGUAGCAAGGUUAACCGUAUAGGGGAGCCGGAGGGAAACCGAGUCUUAACCGGGCGUUAAGUUGCAGGGUAUAGACCCGAAACCCGGUGAUCUAGCCAUGGGCAGGUUGAAGGUUGGGUAACACUAACUGGAGGACCGAACCGACUAAUGUUGAAAAAUUAGCGGAUGACCUGUGGCUGGGGGUGAAAGGCCAAUCAAACCGGGAGAUAGCUGGUUCUCCCCGAAAGCUAUUUAGGUAGCGCCUCGUGAAUUCAUCUCCGGGGGUAGAGCACUGUUUCGGCUAGGGGGCCAUCCCGGCUUACCAACCCGAUGCAAACUGCGAAUACCGGAGAAUGUUAUCACGGGAGACACACGGCGGGUGCUAACGUCCGUCGUGAAGAGGGAAACAACCCAGACCGCCAGCUAAGGUCCCAAAGUCAUGGUUAAGUGGGAAACGAUGUGGGAAGGCCCAGACAGCCAGGAUGUUGGCUUAGAAGCAGCCAUCAUUUAAAGAAAGCGUAAUAGCUCACUGGUCGAGUCGGCCUGCGCGGAAGAUGUAACGGGGCUAAACCAU
This 565-nucleotide ribosomal RNA is filed under the name Salmonella enterica. RNAcentral describes it as "partial 23S ribosomal RNA". It matches the Rfam family "Bacterial large subunit ribosomal RNA", at positions 624 to 1190 of the family's 2925-position model. RNAcentral also lists the same sequence under 1 other name. Lineage: Bacteria; Pseudomonadati; Pseudomonadota; Gammaproteobacteria; Enterobacterales; Enterobacteriaceae. The record is from RNAcentral.